RNAcentral lists this ribosomal RNA (403 nucleotides) under uncultured bacterium. RNAcentral's name for it is "bacterial SSU rRNA". It matches the Rfam family "Bacterial small subunit ribosomal RNA", at positions 954 to 1358 of the family's 1533-position model. The record is from RNAcentral.
AUGGGAACGCGAAGAACCUUACCUAGACUUGACAUCUCCUGAAUAGUGUAGAGAUACAUGAAGCCCUUCGGGGCAGGAAGACAGGUGGUGCAUGGUUGUCGUCAGCUCGUGUCGUGAGAUGUUGGGUUAAGUCCCGCAACGAGCGCAACCCUUAUUACUAGUUGCUACCAUUAAGUUGAGCACUCUAGUGAGACUGCCCGGGUUAACCGGGAGGAAGGCGGGGAUGACGUCAAAUCAUCAUGCCCCUUAUGUCUAGGGCAACACACGUGCUACAAUGGUGAGUACAGAUAGAUGCGAUACCGCAAGGUGGAGCCAAACUCUAAAACUCAUCCCAGUUCGGAUUGUAGGCUGCAACUCGCCUACAUGAAGUUGGAGUUGCUAGUAAUCGCGAAUCAGAACUGUC